CCAUAAUCUUCUAUUCGCUUCGGUGCCUUCAACUAGAAAAACACCCGGAUUGGGUUACUGAUUUUGGAAGGAAAAGUUUCUUGCUGGUUUUGCCUUUUGACUUGCAGGAAAUUAAUCCAUUUGGGAAAAGUAAAAAGUUUGAUUAUCAAUGAAAUUUGGUUUUUCUGUUUCUUUUAAGAAAUUCUCCUGUUGUGGGAUCGAGUUCAAAUUCCCUGUUAGUCUCCAAAGUGGUAAGGUAGCAUGGAGGAGUAGUCAAAUUGGGUGAAGUAGACUGCCAAAAGUUGAAUCCGUCAGUAGUCUGUAACAAGAAGCCAUCGUGUUCAUCCAUGAGACUGAAAUCAAUAGUGUCAUCGGAUGCACCAUCUUCCAUGAUGAAUAAUAAGAAUAAUUGUCAAAUCUCCAUUCCGUAAAGCCUAGAAUAAAUGCAGACAACAAAAUCACGAUCCAAAACACAGAAGCAGCAUAAAUAUGAAAGACAAGAAGAGGAACUUCCAGGAAGGAUUCCUUUCCGUUGUCUUCCAAAACCCAGUUAGCCCUGGAGGUAGUAUAAACAUCGUCUAUUAAAAGUUCUUUGCAACUGCAAUCACAAAUGCAUUUCAGAGGCCAGAAAUCAAACGCACAGACGAUAAGAUUAGCAGGAAAAUCUAAAAAGUAUUUCGGGAUUCUGGGGGGAGUAAACCCAACAAAAGUUCAAACAAAAAACAAAUACAAUUACGAAUUGUUUCAACAAUAGCAGAAGAAAAGAAAAAGGGUCACAAAAGACGAAAUUAUAAUUGAAAACAGAGGUGAAAAAGGCAAAGCCACUCACUAUAUGUACAAUCUUACUGAAUCCUUAUGAACAGUAGAGUGAGUGAUUCAUAAAUAUGAUGACUACUGGUAAAUUGUUCCCUUCCGGUCUCAGAAUUGAGUCAAAUCUCACACACAAAUCAACAGAAGAUAAAUUUGUGAAACAAAUUUGGAAUGUUUCAAUUAUUUGCCUGUUGGCCGUUGUUUUUCAGGUAUUUUGUGCAAAUAAUGGGCGAGGAAUGAGAAAAGCGGGCAGAGGAAAUACUGUUGCUCCAUCAUGGAUGGGACCUACGGAAAGGACAGGUGAGAGAAUCAAAAACGAAAAUAGAUGUAGUUGAAAAGGAACAGCAGCUCAAUUUCCAUGUCAUAAAAUUCAGGAAUCAGGCAAAAUCAUGUUUUGAUUUCGUGUUUAUUAACUUAUUUACUCCGUGUGAAAAAGAUUCCUUCUAUCUUUUUCAGAGCAUUGAGGAUUUGUCCUACGUCUC
Molecule: long non-coding RNA, 1271 nt
Filed under: Olea europaea (common olive)
Lineage: Eukaryota; Viridiplantae; Streptophyta; Magnoliopsida; Lamiales; Oleaceae
Description: long non-coding RNA (OEUR_LNC002165)
Source: RNAcentral